RNAcentral lists this ribosomal RNA (552 nucleotides) under Salmonella enterica subsp. enterica serovar Corvallis. Its description in RNAcentral is "partial 23S ribosomal RNA". It matches the Rfam family "Bacterial large subunit ribosomal RNA", at positions 2171 to 2722 of the family's 2925-position model. The record is from RNAcentral. Lineage: Bacteria; Pseudomonadati; Pseudomonadota; Gammaproteobacteria; Enterobacterales; Enterobacteriaceae.
CCAGUCUGCAUGGAGCCGACCUUGAAAUACCACCCUUUAAUGUUUGAUGUUCUAACGUGGACCCGUAAUCCGGGUUGCGGACAGUGUCUGGUGGGUAGUUUGACUGGGGCGGUCUCCUCCUAAAGAGUAACGGAGGAGCACGAAGGUUGGCUAAUCCUGGUCGGACAUCAGGAGGUUAGUGCAAUGGCAUAAGCCAGCUUGACUGCGAGCGUGACGGCGCGAGCAGGUGCGAAAGCAGGUCAUAGUGAUCCGGUGGUUCUGAAUGGAAGGGCCAUCGCUCAACGGAUAAAAGGUACUCCGGGGAUAACAGGCUGAUACCGCCCAAGAGUUCAUAUCGACGGCGGUGUUUGGCACCUCGAUGUCGGCUCAUCACAUCCUGGGGCUGAAGUAGGUCCCAAGGGUAUGGCUGUUCGCCAUUUAAAGUGGUACGCGAGCUGGGUUUAGAACGUCGUGAGACAGUUCGGUCCCUAUCUGCCGUGGGCGCUGGAGAACUGAGGGGGGCUGCUCCUAGUACGAGAGGACCGGAGUGGACGCAUCACUGGUGUUCGGGUU